Molecule: long non-coding RNA, 6896 nt
Filed under: Salmo salar (Atlantic salmon)
Lineage: Eukaryota; Metazoa; Chordata; Actinopteri; Salmoniformes; Salmonidae
Description: lncRNA (ENSSSAG00000098168.1)
Source: RNAcentral
GUCUCAGAGCGAGUGACGUCGCCGAUUGAAACGCUAUUAGCGCGCACCACCGCUAACUAACUAGCCAUUUCACAUCGGUUACAUAGGCAACAUCACCUCCGCCACUCUGACCCUCAACACGGGGUGUGUGCUUAGUCCCCUCCUAUACCCCCUGUUCACCCACAACUGCAUGGCCACUCACGACUCCAACACCAUUAAGUUUGCUAACGACACAACAUGGUAGGCCUGAUCACUGGUGGCGAUGGGACAGCCUACAGGGAGGAGGUCAGUGACCUGGCAGUGUGGAGCCAGGACAACAACCUCUCAAUGUCAGUAAGACCAAGGAGCUGAUCGUGGGAACGGAGGGCCCAGCACGCCCCUAUCCACACUGAUGGGGCUGCAGUGGAGCUGGUUGAGCGGUUCAAGUUUCUCGGUGUACAAAUCACCUACACUUGGUAUGGCAACAGCACCGCUCUCGAUCGCAUGGCGCUACAAAGGGUGGUGCAGAAAGCCCAGUACAUCACUGGGGCUGAGCUCCCUGCCAUCCAAGACCUCUAUUUCAGGUGGUGUGAAAGGAAGAUCCGGAAGAUCGUGUAACUCAGUAAAAUCUUUGAACUUGUUGCAUGUUGCGUUUAUAUUUCUGUUCAGUAUAUACACCUUGUUCAACUAUUCAUGGUUUACAAUUGAGUCCACAAUUAGUUGAGGUGUUAGUGAAGGGCUGGAACAAAUACCUGUAAACUCCUGUCCUGUGUAAAAACAACAACAACCGGUAGUUGUCAGGACUACAUUUUCCCUCAUGUACUAAACAAGCUUUUGAGGUUCCUCCUCUUGUUAUGUACCCCACUUGGGGAUGACUUAUUUUGUACAAUGGACUGUGUUCUAAAGACUCAUGCACAGAUACAGGAAAGCCAAUCAGUUAAUAUUUCUUACAAUUACAAGUAUUGUCUCGCCACGGUGUUGAGGCUUGGGCAACUGGGGGCUGCAGUUCAUCUGUCUAAUCCCCUGCAAGCAGAGAAAGGCAUUAAUAAUAUUAGAAUGGUGUAUUCAUUUCAUUUAAUAUAUAAUGAACAAAAAUAUAAAAGCAACAUGCAACAAGUUCAUAAAUGGACAUCAGUCAAUUUAAAUAAUGUCAUUAGGCCCUAAUAUAUGGAUUUCACAUGACUGGGCAGGGGCUCAGCCAUAGGUGGGCCUGGGAGGGCAUAGUCCCACCCACUGGGGAGCCAGACCCAGCCAAUCAGAAUGAUUUUUUCCCACAAAAAGUCUUUAUUACGGACAGAAAUACUCCUCAGUUUCAUCAGCUGCCUGGGUGGCUGGUCUCAGAUGAUCCCGCAGGUGAAGAAGCUGGAUGUGGAGGUCCAGAACUGCUGUGGUUACACGUGGUCAGCAGUUGUGAGGCCGGUCGGAUGUACUGCCAAAUUCUCUAAAACGAUGUUGGAGGUGGCUUAUGCUAGAGAAAUGAACAUUAAAUUAUCUGGCAAAAGGUCUGUUGGACAUUCCUGCACUCAGCAUGCCAAUUGCAUGAUCCCUCAAAACUUGAGACACGUGUGGCAUUAUGUUGUGUGACAAAACUGCACAUUUUAGUGUGUCCUUUUAUUGUCCCCAGCACUAGGUGCACCUGUAACAAUUAUGCUGUUUAAUCAGCUUCUUGAUAUGCCACACCUGUCAGGUGGGUGGAUUAUCUUGGCAAAGGAGAAAUGCUAACAACACCUUUGUAAUAUUGAGUUGCCCUCAAUGAAGGACUUUUAUUUUAAAAACGAACAACAAAUCCCCCUAUUGUGGCUAGCUUCACAUAGGUGCUAGCACUAUCACCUUCAAACUACUUAGCACGUUCACAUACUUGUCAUUGUAUAAAGAAAGAGACGACCAUGGCGAAUUGUGACUAUUUACAAACUCAGCUAACAUCUGUUUUGAACUCGCUUGUUAAAAUUGCGGUCGUAGAACUACUGCGAAUUGUAGAGGAUAGCGCCGUUGAACUUCGUCUGGAGGUGUCCAAGAGUAAAUUUGAGAACGAAGCACUGAAAAUUGAGAACGAAUCUAACAAAAAUAAGUUACAGAGUUUGGAAGCAGAACUGUGGACAGCGGGAAAUCGACCAUGUUCAAUAUGUUAUCGUUGUGUUGGUAUUCCAGCUCGCGGUAAAGGUGGAUGCGUCAGCCCCAAAAGAGAUAGAGAUGCUGCUGGUCCUCCUAAUUCUUCAGAGGAGGACAAUGCAUCAUCAUGGCUGCAACAAUCUGCUCAUACCAUGGAAGAGACUACAGCAGCCAUGGAGAGGGAUGGGAUUCACAUCGUUGUCAUUAAGAACGAAGCGGGGCAUGAAGGCACACAUCGGAAGAAAGACACACAGGCUGGAAGUUCAACAGAAGGUGAGCAGCCGUGUCCCAAAGUGGACAUGGUGUAUGGCAAGGAGUGGAGCCAAAGCCUGUGGCGAGACAGAGAUGCUGUCAAGGAGGACUCUGCAGGACCAUCGGUGACCCAGCGACAGUGGCUUACACCUGGGCAGUCAAGCUCUGUGGACUUACGAAAUCUGCGCCGGCGCCGAAGAGUAAGAACUCAACCGCAUCCGCAAAGGAGAGGGACCUACCUCAGGUACACCCCCGAGCAAAGGGCCAAGAUUGCGCGGAUGUGCAUGGAGGUGGGUGCACAGAUGGCCGCAGCCAUGAUGUCUGAGGAAUUGGGAAGACGCAUCAGCCCCAACACUGUGAGGUCCAUGAGGAUCAGCUACGAACAGACGGUCGAAAGCAUGGGCGUCCAGAAAGUGGAAGACCUACCCCAUUUGAGGCCAUUCAGAACAGACAUGUUUGAUGAGGAGAUUACUCGCUUCGUAAUGGUGAGGAGAAGAGCUGGAGGUCAGGUUAGCCCGUCCAUGCUGAUGGUAGCCACGCGAGACAUUGUGAUGCGCAGAAACCCGGAGAUGCUGGCAGAGAAUGGCGGUCAUAUCCUAAUCAGCACAAAUUGGGCCCGUUGUUGGCUCCGGCGGUUGGCAGGAAAUAGAAUCACGUCAAAGAGGUAGUGAAGAUAUUGCAGGAGUCCUCUACUGUUAGGACAGUGUUUUUACAUGAAUGAGAAUUCCUCAUGUCUGUGUGUUGAAGUUAAGGAAGAUGUGUAACAUUCCGUGUUGACUGGUGUCCGGUGUGAUGUUAGGAGAAUCUGCAUGCAGCAUGUAACUGGAUGCCAUUGUGCUGUGUUCUCUGAAGUUGGUGUUGGCAGUUCAUAUCUUUAGUAUUUACAUUUUCUGAAUAUUCAAACUUUUUGAAGCGAACUAUUCAGAUCAAUGCUUUUCAUAUAUUUCAUAAGGGGAUGGAUGGGUUUGGUGUUAUAACAAUGGUAUGUAACUUGGCUAAUGUCUUGUAUGAGGUAACCACAUACGGUUUUGUUAGCUUUUUAAAUUGGUGUGUAUUGUGUAUAUUGAUGUGUGUAUUGUGUAUAUUGAUGUGUGUGUGUGUAGUGUAAUUGAUGUUAUCAUGCAGGGCUCACCUGCAAAAGAGACCAUGGUAUCAGCAUGACUCCCUGUUUAAAUAAAGGUUAAAUUAAAUCAACUGUAUUAGAAGUUUAUGAAAAUAAAUAUAUAUACACCUCACAAUCCUUAGUGCCUCUUAUGUUUUAUUCAUUUAGUACCGUGAGAGAGAAUGUGUUUAUGCGAUUGUGCUACCACUACAGAGACGCAUCGGCAUAUGCCAUGAAAAAAGUAACAAAUGAAAGCUGUAACAUGUAAUAUGUCAAACACACAGGUCAAGACUGUUUCGGCUCAGAAAAGGCGGAGUGUUUGUGUAAAGAAGUCGGUCAUAGAAGAUGAACCUGCUGACUCAUCAGAUGCUGGUACCCAGGUACAUCAAAAUGGACCUCUUUCAAUUAUUUGUGGUAUAAAAUAGCUGCUUGUUGCACUCAGUGUGAGAGGAAAAAUGAUGCUUCUGAUCAGUCAAGCCCUGAGAGUGAGGCUGAUUACUCCAUCAGAAUCAAGUACAUUUACAUAUACCUGGAAUUUGACUUAGUGAAUAGGUGCUGCCAGCAAUGGACAAUGUACAAACAGAAUACAGACAGUCGACAUACAGAAUAUACAGUAAACGUAAAGCUGAUUUACAGUGAGGAUAUACAAUUUACAGAGGGGAUGGAUAUCUUUAUAUGCAGAGGGAAGGGAUGCUACCAUUACACACACAUACAGUGUUGUGUACAUAGUGCAAAUGCAGUAUAGUGCAGUUAUUAGUAUGAGGUAAUUAAUGGAAAGGUGCAGUGUUGGGCUCAAAUGCGUUGUAUCAGGUACAACUUCAGUAUAUGGAAAUGUGUAGACAGUGUGACAAACGUACCUCUUGGUCUUUCCACAGCACCAGAACACCACUGAGUCCUGUGAUGUGGAGAAAAGUUGUGCAUUUGGAAGUUUUAAACCAGAAAGUUGUUUGAACUUUGAAGAAAACCACUUCUUGACUUCACCAGUCAACAUCAUGGUCCAGAAAUGUGUGAAGCUACCAGGUGCAGCAGCUGUCAUGGACACCCAAUUAGACAAGUCCAAGGACUUUGACAACAUGAACAACUCCGGAAGAAAGAAGAGAGGGAGAAAAAAUGGCCCUUGUAAAGGCAAUGUAAAUUACUGUUUUGUAUGUGGAGAGCCUCAAUCAAAGAUCUCCCGCCACUUGAAACAGCAUGAGAAGGAAAAUGCUGAAAUUGCUUAUGUCUUAAGUCUUGACAUAGCUUCAAGACAGCGGAAAGUGUUGCUGGAGAAACUGAGGAACAAGGGAAAUUUCCAACACAACACUAACGUCGUAAACAAGGGAUCCGGCUGUCUCAAAGUAAAAAGGAAACCCAAACCGAAUAGUGGCGCGAAGAGAUUUGAACCUUGUCUUUACUGUAAAGAUCCGUUUUUCCAAACAAAGGAAGAUGUUAAGGCUUGUGCAGAGAAGACCCGUGCAAGGCUGCAAUCUUUGGAGCCAGCAGGCCAAUCCCAGGCUACAGCUUUCAAUAAAGGGGAAGGCCUAAAAGUUGUUGCCACGGAGAAGGAUGGAAUAAAAGUACUUCGCAUCAAGAAGGAAAUAAAUGAAGGCACAGAACAUGACACACCAUGUCCAAUGACAGGUGAGCAGCCGUGUCCCAAAGUGGACAUGGUGUACGGCAAGGAGUGGAGCCAAAGCCUGUGGCGAGACGGAAAAGAAAUAGGAGACCAUAGCGACAGAACAGAGGAGAAAGAAACUCCAGGACCGUCAAUGACCCAGCAUCAGAACGGAGGUCCACUUCAGUGCAGUAAGCUGAAUCCAUCCACUCCUAACUUCAAAGUCUUCUGUGAUCCUGAACGAGACACGUAUCUCGACUAAUGACUUGAGGGAAUUUCUGAAUUCUGUUCUCCUUGUCACUGACUGGUCAUGACAGAUAGACGGCAACGUUAAGGAUCCUUGUCUUUACUUACUGGUUGGCCCACGGGACCUCCUAUAAAACUGUCUCAGAGACUUUCGGAAUCCCUCUGUCCAAUGCUACCUGACUCGUCCGCGACGUUGUGGACAAACUGGCCAAGCUGUCCCCUCUUCAGACGAGCUGGCUCUCAUGGUGGGUUUCGGGAAACUGGCCCUUCACCGGAGGUUUGAGAAGGCUGUGGGGGGCCAUAGUCGUGUGCCACGUCAGGGUCAAGAUCCCCAGUGCACCAUUCCCCCAACAAUGUCAAGGUGAGAAGCCCCUCCCCACCAUCAACUUCCAAGGGGUCUGCGACCACACAUGCCGCUUCAUCAAUGUCUUCGUGGGGCUGCCUGGGUCUAUGAGCGACUUGAAGGUGCUCAGGCAUAGUCCCCUGUGGAAAAGUGCUCCGAAGCACGACCAGUUUAACCAGCACCGUGCCAUGGCUCUCUUCUACUAACCGAGAGGACCUUCGACAUGAGAAAGUGCUGACACAUCUUCCUCCAGCCCCUCAAGCUCCACCCAAGCUUCAUCCCGAAAGUGCUUGCAAUGUGCACUGUGCUGCAUAACAUCUGCCUCCGGUCCGGGGACGUGCUGGAGCCAGUAAAGGUUGAGGACAGAAACAAGGUGACUGAGGCUCUGAAGGAGUGGCUAGUGUCGAAUGAGACCAGCAGAGAGGCGUUGAGGGACAGUUUGGCUUAACAGAUCUCUACAAUGAAAUGAAUGGCCUCAGUGAAUGAUGUGCAAGGGACAUCUGCACCGGCAAACAUGGCGGCAGUGCAAAAAGAAUAGGCUUACAACAUAGUGGUGAUGGAGAUUGAUUACUUCAGGAGCCCAUAAGCGGUGGUGGAACUGUCACUGCCGACCUUCUACGUUUUUCCUAAAACAAUUUAGCAAAGUCACCUCUCCUAUUCUAAUGCUAAUAUACAGUUCCAUGUAUAAGAUCCUCCACUUUAUUUCAAAUUUUUAUACUGUACAUGGUGAAGUGAAACACGAUUGAUUUUUUUUGUUGUUGGUAUGGUGUGAAUGUGGGACUGGUAUUCUAACUAUUAACUUGUUUUUUAAAAUAAUUGUUAUUACUGUAUGCAUAAUAAAAGCAUCCCCUGUGGUCUGCAGUGCAGCCCUGGAUGUGGUAUGCAUAUGUCUUUGAUAAAGCCUUCUUCAUUGUGUCACUUAAAGGGACAUUUUACCUUAGCGGAAAAUACAUGAUAAGUUCAUUAUGCCAGGCGUAUUUCAAACACUAAUGCAUUGUAUACCAGUGAUGAAACAGACCAAACCAUCCUUGUAUUCUUAUGUCGUUACUGAAUGCUUUUACCUUGUGUGGUGUUCGGGUCUGCGGGACCCAUUUUCAAUGUUUACUAAAAUGAAAAACCUGAGACUCAUUGGCCUUGGCUCAUUUUCUGUGAACAACAUGUAAAAUAACACAUUUUCAUUGAGUGCACACUGUGUACUCCCCUACACAUCUAUAUUACAUACAGUGGGGGGGAAAAGUAUUUGAUCCCCUGACGAUUUUGUACGUUUGCCCACUGAUAAAGUAUCAGCCUAU